AAAAGAAAAGUUACCUAUAAGUGUAAUGGUGUAAUGUUAUACGUUAUUUAUUAUAACCUAACCGAAUAUAAUUUUGAAAAAAAAAAAAUGUAUAAAAUUAAGUUAGUUUUACGUUUAAGUUCAUUAAAAAUACGAAUAAUUGUAAUUAAUGUUUUACACAAUAAACAACAAAUUUAUAGUAUUAUAGUUUUCGAUAUUAAAAUGUAUUGAAAUCCGUUUGACUAAACUCGGCUUAGAAUUGUUUUCCAUUGACAUAAUGUUAUUAAUAGUCAAUAAGACGUAGAGAC
This is a non-coding RNA of Cinara cedri, 287 nucleotides long. The record is from the annotation of a GenBank genome assembly. NCBI's taxonomy places the organism in Eukaryota, Metazoa, Arthropoda, Insecta, Hemiptera, Aphididae.